RNAcentral lists this ribosomal RNA (422 nucleotides) under Cytherissa verrucosa. RNAcentral's name for it is "partial small subunit ribosomal RNA". Lineage: Eukaryota; Metazoa; Arthropoda; Ostracoda; Podocopida; Cytherideidae. The record is from RNAcentral.
UUUUAUAGUCGAACAGACUAGCUCACUUAACUGCUACACCAAGUAGCGCCUUUAAUUCAACAUCGAGGUCACAAGAUCUUUUAUCAAUUAGGCCUCUCUAAAAGCAUUGUGCUGUUAUCCCUGAGGUAACUACUCUUUAACUUGUCUAAGAUCGUAGCCCGACUACGCGAUUGAGGUACAAAUUAGAUGUGUUAGUUUACCGCCCCAGUUUGACACAACAUAAACAAAGACCCAAAUUGGUUGGGCCUAAGCCACUCCUAGAUCAGCUCUGCAGGGUCUUAUCUUCCCAUUGAUUGAGGUUGAAGUUUUAAUCAAAACCUUAAGUUCUAGCCUUAUGGGCUUACAAGUCGUCUUUCAUGAACCCCUUCAUUCUAGACCCCAAUUAAAAGCCAAAUUAUUAUGCUACCUUUGCACAGUUAAGG